RNAcentral lists this ribosomal RNA (253 nucleotides) under uncultured bacterium. Its description in RNAcentral is "partial 16S ribosomal RNA". It matches the Rfam family "Bacterial small subunit ribosomal RNA", at positions 524 to 776 of the family's 1533-position model. The record is from RNAcentral.
UACGGGGGGGGCAAGCGUUGUUCGGAAUUACUGGGCGUAAAGCGCACGUAGGCGGACAUUUAAGUCAGGGGUGAAAUCCCGGGGCUCAACCCCGGAACGGCCUUUGAUACUGGGUGUCUUGAGUUCGGAAGAGGUGAGUGGAAUUGCGAGUGUAGAGGUGAAAUUCGUAGAUAUUCGCAGGAACACCAGUGGCGAAGGCGGCUCACUGGUCCGAUACUGACGCUGAGGUGCGAAAGCGUGGGGAGCAAACAGG